RNAcentral lists this ribosomal RNA (494 nucleotides) under uncultured bacterium. RNAcentral describes it as "partial 16S ribosomal RNA". It matches the Rfam family "Bacterial small subunit ribosomal RNA", at positions 28 to 507 of the family's 1533-position model. The record is from RNAcentral.
GACGAACGCUGGCGGCGUGCUUAACACAUGCAAGUCGAACGGUGAAGCGCCUUCCUUUUUGGUGGGUGUGGAUGAGUGGCGAACGGGUGAGUAACACGUGAGUAACCUGCCCCCUUCUUCUGGAUAACCGCAUGAAAGUGUGGCUAAUACGGGAUAUUCUGGGUCUGUCGCAUGAUGGGUCUGGGAAAGAUAUUGUUUCGGUGGGGGAUGGGCUCGCGGCCUAUCAGCUUGUUGGUGGGGUGAUGGCCUACCAAGGCGGUGACGGGUAGCCGGCCUGAGAGGGUGGACGGUCACACUGGGACUGAGACACGGCGCAGACUCCUACGGGAGGCAGCAGGGGGGAAUAUUGCACAAUGGGCGCAAGCCUGAUGCAGCGACGCCGCGUGAGGGAUGGAGGCCUUCGGGUUGUGAACCUCUUCCGCCAGUGAAGCAGGCCUGCCUCGUUUGUGGGUGGGUUGACGGUAGCUGGAUAAGAAGCGCCGGCUAACUACGUG